This 122-nucleotide small nucleolar RNA is filed under the name Tupaia belangeri (northern tree shrew). RNAcentral describes it as "Small nucleolar RNA SNORA42/SNORA80 family (ENSTBEG00000019925.1)". Lineage: Eukaryota; Metazoa; Chordata; Mammalia; Scandentia; Tupaiidae. The record is from RNAcentral.
GCAUACGUUUGGAUUUAUGUCUGGCUCAUCCCCUAGGGCCCCUCACAGUGUCCCAUGCCCGAACAAAUGGGCCCUGAACAGCCUGGCCUGUGGCUGCUGGCACUGAAGUGACUUGCACAGUG